Molecule: non-coding RNA, 2397 nt
Organism: Xyrichtys novacula (pearly razorfish)
Lineage: Eukaryota; Metazoa; Chordata; Actinopteri; Labriformes; Labridae
Source: the annotation of a GenBank genome assembly
GCGGGAAGCGCGCGGAGCCACACAAACACGUCAAACAUUGACGCCAGCGUCGCUAAUUCCCCACUAAACAGCGCUGCUUUUCCUUCUCCCGUCUCUGUUGGAUAGGGAAACCGAGGGUGCACACUUGGAGCUCUGUAAGUUAACUUUAUCAUACAUUCACACAGACAUUCAUACCUUCACUUACUUGCCGCGCGCCCAUUCAUUCACGCGAUCAUCCCGGCUCAGGUGUCCAAACGAGGAAACAGAUCGCGCGAUUUCCGGGUGUAAAAUAGAUAGGUACGGCGGGUCAAAGUGGCCACAUGAUACAAGAAAAAUUAAUUCUCUCCUGUUGAUUUGGAUACAAACUUAUAGAAAAAGGCCUGAAGGUUAAAAAUGGUUUAAAUGUGAAUAAAACUUAAAAGCUGCCAUAAGUACGACAAGCCAUGGUGGAAACACAGACAACAGCCAUCCACAGUUUUAGCACAGAAGGGCUAAAAUAAGGUUCCUAUGGCUGGAGAACUAUUCUGUAUUAUCAUUGGAAAUGGUUCUCAAAGCACCGAUGAUUUAAAACCUGCUUUUGUUUUGCAGUUAGGAGCCUCCAUGCUGAAUCUUUACGACCGUUUAAGAUAAAAAGAUCUGUCUCUCACUUCUAGGCCUUGAAAAACACGAACCCCUAAAAAAAGCAGUAAAUGAGCAAUUACCCAACAGCCUUGUUCAGACAAACCCGCUGUGAAUUUAUGGCUCCAUUCACUGUCAACAGUCUAAAAAUUAAAUUACCCCAAAUGACAAGAAAUAAAUAAAUUACUCAGUGAAGUGUGAGAGAUAAUCAUGUGUACACCAAACACUCACAUUAGAGCCCAGACGUGAGACAGCCACGAUAACUUAUCUUUAAACCGAUCCAGAUCUCGUGGUCUGAUGAAAAUGCGAAUUGAUAUCACCUGUGUUUGUUUACGCUCUGCACUAUUUUCACAAAUGACGGUCUCUCCCUAUAAGCUCGCCAAAAAAUUUACAGCGCGCACGAGCUGUCAGGGAUACAGCUGUUUAUUGGAUUUGUUUGUUGACGCCAUUGUAACACUGAUGAUCAGCGCAUGGAUUACACCCGUUUGACAGCUCUGUGUGACAAAUCAGUCGAGGCGCUUUCUGCAUGAAUGGGACUGAGUCAAAGUGUAAUCCGUGUAGCACAAACAGAAUCUGUGAUUUAUUACAGGUCUGUGUUUUUCUUCGUGACUCUUAGAGGGGAAGAAUAAAUCUCUGACCUCUUUUAUUGGUUCGUUGCAGUCCUGCGUGUGUCCCGCUGAUUAGCACGACAUCGUUUGAUUCUUUUUCAUAUCACACACCAGUUUCCCUCGUAGUUAAGGUUCAAAGCGACCUAUUUAAUGAGAAUUUUCAACAAAAACACACCAGAAUUGAAUCAAUGGACUUUAUUUUUAUGCUUUCAGAGGCACGGACACAGAAAAGAGGGUGAUGACAGGAAAAGCUGCUUCCUGUCCAGACAGCGUGGAUGGGGAGAUGUGCUGAUGUGGAACAUGGCCCGAAGCACAUCCCUGCCUCUCUGCACGCCGCCCAUUAUCUCCUAUAGGGUACAAAGCAACCCUGCUAUGGCGAGCAUUUCCUGCUUCCUCUCCCCGUCGCACAGUCAGGUACGUGCAUGAGUCCGUCACAUGACUUUCCACUACAACGCAGCUGGAGAGCAGAGGGCGGAGGAGAGCAUCUCGCCAGGUCCAGACCUCCAGAUUUAGUGGGCAGGAAGUGUUGUCGAAGAACAAAGCAAGUCUAUGUUUGUAACAGGCUCAGUGAGGGUGUGAAAUGUUGGAAAAUAUCUUAAAAAUUCGGUCUAACCUCAUUUUAACUCGGCUGGAUUCAGUUCAAUAGAAAGCAUCUACUGACACACAGUUAAAGACUCGGCAGGAGUUGUCUUAUAGUCCGAUUUCAGUGGAAAGGUUUCAACCGUAAAUAAAACUAUGGCACUAAAGAUGGUUUUUAUUUACCAAUCUAAUAAAACUGAAGUCUAUGAUAUAAAAAGCAAUAAAAGGCAUCAUUUUCUAUUGUUAUGUGUUGCGAAUUUCUGACUCCUCAGAAGUGCUGCCAUGAAAAUCCUGCGAGUAAACCUCAGUCUAAACACAAAGUAAAUUUCAGGAGUGCCACAUUCUCAUUAAAUCAGCGAAAUAAAGACAAAUGGAUGCAAAUGUUUUAUAGGCGUAAACCGAGGCGAGUUAAAAGAGAAUUUCAAAACGUACUCCAGCUUAAGAAACCUUCAGUUUGAGCCAAAAAUUCUCCCUCAUGCUGAGAUUUUGAAAACAGCUCAUGAAUGUAGAAGAAGGAAAAGAAAACUGAGAAGAGGAAAGAGAAAACAAAAGUUCUCUGUCACAGAGCUUCAUUGAGAACAUUGAGAGUUACCUCGGAGGUCAGAAGUACGAG